UGGGGAAUUUUGCGCAAUGGGCGAAAGCCUGACGCAGCAACGCCGCGUGGGUGAUGAAGGUCUUCGGAUCGUAAAACCCUGUCGUCAGGGACGAAGGUCGGGGGGUGAACAGCCCUUUGGCUUGACGGUACCUGGAGAGGAAGCCCCGGCUAACUCUGUGCCAGCAGCCGCGGUAAUACAGAGGGGGCAAGCGUUAUUCGGAAUUAUUGGGCGUAAAGGGCGCGUAGGCGGUGUCUUAAGUGGGAUGUGCAAUCCCCGGGCUUAACCUGGGAACUGCAUCCCAGACUGGGACGCUGGAGUACUGGAGAGGGUGGUGGAAUUCCACGUGUAGCGGUGAAAUGCGUAGAGAUGUGGAGGAACACCAGUGGCGAAGGCGGCCACCUGGACAGUAACUGACGCUGAGGCGCGAAAGUGUGGGUAGCAAACA
Molecule: ribosomal RNA, 427 nt
Filed under: uncultured bacterium
Lineage: Bacteria
Description: bacterial SSU rRNA
Rfam family: Bacterial small subunit ribosomal RNA
Source: RNAcentral